UUCCACGUUUUCCUCUCUUUCUCCAUCGACGCGGCUCUCUCUGCAGCGUUCUCCAUCGACGCGGCUCUCUCUGCAGUGUUCCUCUCCCUGCAACUCGCACCACUCCAUCCCGAUUUGAAUCCGAGCACCACUCCAUCAAGGCCGAAGUUCGUCGCACGAGCGAGCGAGAUCCGAGAUCCGAGCAAUCCGAGCACCACUCGGAGGUCCUCCUCUCGCGGAUCGGCGACGGCUCCGCUUCCUGCGACGGCGACGGCUUCGGCUCUCCGCCCAAGGUCCAAAGGAGGCUUCGCGCGUGAAUUAGGCAUAACGGGGUGCUUCAUCUGGGUUCGGAGCUCUCUCCUAUCCUGCCAUGGACUCCAGUAACGGCGCGUUGGUGAUAAUUGAACAGGGAUUCUCAUGUUGGGUGUUGCCCUUAGAGUGAUUAGUCUUGAGGCAGCUGGUGCAAAGUCAGGCCACGAUGUAAAAUCGACCCCAACCAUCCGUCCUCCUUGUUUGUUUGCAUUAGUUUGUGACAUUCAUUCCCUGUUUCCGCAACAAAUGGUCCACCUCCUAAGCCGUGGGAAAGAGCCGGGGUUCAUCAGGUCCUGCGCCAUUUAAGCCGCCAUCAUCUGGAAGCACUAGUGAUAUAGUGGAAGCUUCCGGAACAGCAAGACCCGGUGAAAUUGUUUCGACUACUGAUAGAACUAUUCCUGUCAAUGCAAAUUCUAUUGCCAGGCCGGUUCCCACCAGGCCAUGCGAGCAUCAAUCCUAUGGCAAUAUAACAUAAGAUGGUUCUCAGUUAAUCUUUUGAUAAUCAUUGCAGGAUAUAGUUCAUUGGUGAGGGUUUGGGUGGUUAGAAGACUCAGAACAGCCAAAUCGACUCGAGGGGGAAUUCGAGCCUAUUUUUCUGGGAUUUUUUCCCCUUCUUUUUCUUUAUUUUCUUUUUGUUUUAUUUUAUUCCCCCUUGCUUCUACGUUGCUUCUUCCUAAUCAUAACUAUGGAUUUGCUUCUUCUUUUAAUAAUUCAAGUCUUUCUCGUUUU
This is a long non-coding RNA of Eucalyptus grandis, 1020 nucleotides long. RefSeq lists it as uncharacterized. NCBI's taxonomy places the organism in Eukaryota, Viridiplantae, Streptophyta, Magnoliopsida, Myrtales, Myrtaceae. The transcript is spliced from 2 exons. The record is from RefSeq and is a predicted model, not a curated record.